AGUUAAUUAGCUUAUCAGUAAAGCCUGUGUUUUGAAAGCACAAGAUAGAAGUUAAAAUCUUCUGUUAACUU
Molecule: transfer RNA, 71 nt
Filed under: Dinocras cephalotes
Lineage: Eukaryota; Metazoa; Arthropoda; Insecta; Plecoptera; Perlidae
Description: tRNA-Ser
Rfam family: tRNA
About the family: Transfer RNA (tRNA) molecules are approximately 80 nucleotides in length. Their secondary structure includes four short double-helical elements and three loops (D, anti-codon, and T loops). Further hydrogen bonds mediate the characteristic L-shaped molecular structure. tRNAs have two regions of fundamental functional importance: the anti-codon, which is responsible for specific mRNA codon recognition, and the 3' end, to which the tRNAs corresponding amino acid is attached (by aminoacyl-tRNA synthetases). tRNAs cope with the degeneracy of the genetic code in two manners: having more than one tRNA (with a specific anti-codon) for a particular amino acid; and 'wobble' base-pairing, i.e. permitting non-standard base-pairing at the 3rd anti-codon position.
Source: RNAcentral